CCUUUUAUACUUUGGGACUUGUAAAUAGAAGUUUCAGGGGUGAAACACUGCUUCUUCUGAAGAAUUAUGUGGAGUUAAAUGUAUCCUCUUCUGCAGAAAAGCAUUAAAUUAUGAACUAGGAUGUGGGAUAAACACACUAAGUACCUCCUCCAGCUCAGU
Molecule: long non-coding RNA, 159 nt
Organism: Cygnus olor (mute swan)
Lineage: Eukaryota; Metazoa; Chordata; Aves; Anseriformes; Anatidae
Exons: 3
Source: RefSeq, a predicted model, not a curated record